UACAGAGGUGGCGAGCGUUGUUCGGAUUUACUGGGCGUAAAGGGAGCGUAGGCGGCAAUGUGUGUCGGAUGUGAAAUCCCACGGCUCAACCGUGGAACGUCAUCCGAAACUGCAGUGCUAGAGUGCAGGAGGGGAGAGCGGAAUUCUUGGUGUAGCGGUGAAAUGCGUUGAUAUCAAGAGGAACACCGGUGGCGAAGGCGGCUCUCUGGAAUGCAACUGACGCUGAGGCUCGAGAGCGUGGGGAG
RNAcentral lists this ribosomal RNA (245 nucleotides) under uncultured bacterium. Its description in RNAcentral is "partial 16S ribosomal RNA". It matches the Rfam family "Bacterial small subunit ribosomal RNA", at positions 524 to 768 of the family's 1533-position model. The record is from RNAcentral.